RNAcentral lists this ribosomal RNA (1206 nucleotides) under Triticum aestivum (bread wheat). RNAcentral's name for it is "partial small subunit ribosomal RNA". Lineage: Eukaryota; Viridiplantae; Streptophyta; Magnoliopsida; Poales; Poaceae. The record is from RNAcentral.
AUGGAGCUGGAAUCGAUGGUGGAGACAACCAAGAUGACGGGCUCACCGUUCCCGACGGUGGAGAAGUGCUCGUCUGUGGACCGGAGCGGGGACACGGUGGUGGCAGACCUGGACGGCACACUGCUGUGCGACCGGAGCUCUUUCCCGUACUUCGCGCACAUGGCUUUCGAGACCGGCGGCGUACUCCGGCUCCUGUUGCUCCUCCUGCUGGCUCCACUCGCAGGGCUCCUCUACUUGUUCGUGUCCGAGUCGGCGGGCAUACAGGUGCUCAUCUUCGGGUCCAUGGCCGGCGCCAAGGUCGAUGACGUCGAGUCUGUGGCACGCGCGGUGCUGCCCAAGUUCUACUGUUCCGACCUCCACCCGGAGUCGUGGCGUGUGUUCUCGGCGUGCGGACGCCGGUUCGUGCUCACCGCGAACCCAAGGAUCAUGGUGGAAGCCUUCCUGAAGGACUACAUCGGCAGCGAUGUCGUGCUCGGCACUGAGCUCGUGGUCUGGGGCCGUAGGGUGACUGGGCUCGUCUGCUCCCCUGGCGUGCUCGUCGGCGACAACAAGGCCGAUGCGCUGCGUCAAGCGUUCGGCAACGCAAUGCCGGAGAUUGGCCUCGGUGACAGCAAGUCGGACUUUCCGUUCAUGCGGCUGUGCAAGGAGCGGUACAUGGUGCCCCCGACGCCGAAGAUGAAGCCCGUGCCGCAGGAAAACCUGCCGAAGACGGUGAUCUUCCACGAUGGCCGGAUCGUCCACAGGCCGUCGCCGGCGCUCGCGCUGCUCACCUUGCUCUGGUUUCCCAUCGGGCUCCUGCUCUCCUUCCUCCGUAUCGCCGCGGGCUCGCUCCUGCCGAUGCGCAUGGUGUACCACGCCUUCACUGCUCUCGGAGUCCGCGUCACCAUCAAGGGCAACCAGCCACCACCAGCAUGCCUCGAGUCCGGCCAGACCGGCGUGCUCUUCGUCUGCUCCCACCGCACUCUCCUCGAUCCAAUCUUCCUUUCCACGGCCCUCGGCCGGCCGAUCACCGCCGUCACCUACUCCGUAUCACGGCUGUCGGAGAUACUGUCGCCGAUCCGAACGGCGCGGCUGACCCGUGACCGCGCGGUGGACGCGGCGAUGAUCCGGCGCCUGCUCAAGGAGGGCGACCUUGUAGUCUGUCCCGAGGGCACGACGUGCCGGGAGCCAUUCCUGCUGCGUUCUCGGCCUUGUUCGCGGAGUUGA